Molecule: long non-coding RNA, 422 nt
Organism: Bos taurus (domestic cattle)
Lineage: Eukaryota; Metazoa; Chordata; Mammalia; Artiodactyla; Bovidae
Source: Ensembl
AGACUGAGUGACUAACACACACACACACACAUCAUUAACAGUAAAGAUGUAUUUUUACCAACUUAGCAUAGCUCAAACAGAAAGAGGAAACCACAACCCAGAAAAGGAUAUUUGCAGCACACCUACCCACAAAUCAUUAAGGAUAAAGAAAUUCUACAGAUCAGUGGAAGACCGACAACCAAAUAGAAAACACGAGCAAAGGACUUGAAGACUUGAAGGUUACAGCAGCAAAGUCUGGAUCCUCUUCAGCUUCUGCUGCUGUUUGCCUGGGGAGAAUGGAGGUCCACAGACUGGUGGUAUAUCCAGGGUGGCUGUACAUCUAGACGUCCGGGGCGGGCCGAGCUGGUCCAGGCCCAAGCACUCCCGCACAUCACUCAGAAUCCUUCUGUAUCUGUUUCAUGAUUGCACACCUGCCAUCCGGG